Molecule: ribosomal RNA, 253 nt
Filed under: uncultured bacterium
Lineage: Bacteria
Description: partial 16S ribosomal RNA
Rfam family: Bacterial small subunit ribosomal RNA
Source: RNAcentral
UACGUAGGGUGCGAGCGUUGUCCGGAAUUACUGGGCAUAAAGAGCUCGUAGGGGGUUUGUCGCGUUGUCCGUGAAAACUCACAGCUUAACUGUGGGCGUGCGGGCGAUACGGGCAGACUGGAGUACUGCAGGGGAGACUGGAAUUCCUGGUGUAGCGGUGGAAUGCGCAGAUAUCAGGAGGAACACCGGUGGCGAAGGCGGGUCUCUGGGCCGAUACUGACGCUGAGGAGCGAAAGCGUGGGGAGCGAACAGG